AUACGAAGGGGGCUAGCGUUGUUCGGAAUUACUUGGGCGUAAAGCGCAUGUUAGGCGGACAUUUAAGUCAGGGGUGAAAUCCCGGGGCUCAACCUCGGAACUGCCUUUGAUACUGGGUGUCUAGAGUGUGGAAGAGGUAAGUGGAAUUCCGAGUGUAGAGGUGAAAUUCGUAGAUAUUCGGAGGAACACCAGUGGCGAAGGCGGCUUACUGGUCCAUUUACUGACGCUGAGGUGCGAAAGCGGUGGGGAGC
Molecule: ribosomal RNA, 251 nt
Filed under: uncultured bacterium
Lineage: Bacteria
Description: partial 16S ribosomal RNA
Rfam family: Bacterial small subunit ribosomal RNA
Source: RNAcentral